GACAAACUAGGCCAAGCUAAGACAAGUACAGUAAAAAAGGGGGUUAGAAACUGACAAUUAAACUUAGAAACAAAAUUCAAGUGUAAUUUCUAAAAACUAAAAGAUUAAGUUUUCUGUAGAGGUGGAAUUUGUACAGAAUAAAGAGUCUAUUUCUUUUUUAUUUUGAAGCCCCGAAAUCUUGUCUAAAAACCGGGAUUAGAUACCCCGCUAUUCAAGAUGUAAAUUUUAAUUUUAAUAUUUUACUUGAGCAUUACGGGCCCUAUAAAUUACUCUUAUGGAAUGCACCUAAAACUCAAAAAACUUGGCGGUGCCUUAAAUCCUUUCAGGGGAACCUGUCCUAUAAUCGAUAGUCCACGAUUUACCUUUCCUUUUUUUGAAAAACCAGCCUGUAUACCGUCGUCGCCAGAUUACCUCUAAGAGAAAAGAAGUUAUCAACAAGGGAAGUAUAAAAUAAACUGUGAUAGUUCAGUAGUCAAAGUUAUAAUCCCUAAACGUCAGAUCAAGGUGCAGCCAAUAUUAAGGAAGAGAUGGGUUACAAUAAAUAAUUAUUAAAUGAAUUUCUUUUUGCAAGAUAAAAGUUUGAAAGCGGACUUGAAAGUAAUUAAAGAGAAAUAGAAAGUCUCGGUGAACAUGGCCCUAAGGCGUGC
This 647-nucleotide ribosomal RNA is filed under the name Lunella sp. ophiolite. RNAcentral's name for it is "partial 12S ribosomal RNA". It matches the Rfam family "Bacterial small subunit ribosomal RNA", at positions 528 to 1384 of the family's 1533-position model. The record is from RNAcentral. Lineage: Eukaryota; Metazoa; Mollusca; Gastropoda; Trochida; Turbinidae.